GGAAAAAGUAGGCUCGUAUUCAUUUCAGCAUUGCAUUCUUUACAUUGACAACAUUUAUUUUCCCUCAACAAAAGCGGACUGUCAAGCGUAAAUUGACAAAAUUUGAUUCCACCAAAUACCACAAGUAGCAAAAAUAUCCUUUUCAACAAGAAAACAGAGGAACCAAUCCUUUUUUUUUUUUUUGCUGCUAAGGGUCAUGGUAAGAAUAUGUACCAGAGACUAAAAUUUCCUGAUUAUGAAUGUCUAUUUUAAUGCUGUACAAAAUCUAAUUUACUCGACUGCCCGAGUACAGCAACAGUAAAAAUUGGAAAUAUUCAAAGCUCUGUUCUAUACAAACUUUGUAUAUAAUUUGCUUUCAGCCCCUUAAAUUCAUACCAUAAAAGCAUUACUAUGAUGCUCCUCAAAAACAAAAGGCGGUGAAGCUGGAAAUUGUUUCAACAAUACUCGGAAAAGGGACAGAUACAAUAGCAACACACACCUCGAACAUUAAAUGUCAUGGCCAUGAGCUCCAAUGAGACUUGGAUCUAUUGCUUGGAAGCAUCCUUACCUGCACAUUUGGUUCCACUUUCCUGUUUGUUUCCAGGCUGAAUGCUUUCCAAAUAUGCAGAAAUUAAGUCAUCCAAUUUCACCAACCAGAGAGCAAGUGCAGAUGAUGUUUGAGGCAUAGUUGGAAAGCUCGCAAUAAUUUCUUCCAUAGAAGUAUUGGAAUCAUGCGCAACAUCACAUUGACAUAACCAAUCCUCAUUAAUUGCAGCAACAAAAUCGGCAACAACCUGCAAAAGCUCUGCCAAAGAUGAGGUGCGUCUGAGCCUUUUGACCCACAACCUAUGAGCAGACUUUGUCCAAGCACCCAGCAAAGCUUCAUCUGGCAUAGCUGACUCAAUUGCAUGGACUGCAGCUUUCAGUGAUUGCAACUGUGAUGACAGAACUUUAUGUUUUGGAAACAUUUCACUGUCUCUUUUCGCUCUACAUGUGGCUGAAUGGAUGGCAUAUCUUUCUUCAAGAUCAAAAUCAAGUUCAAAUGUUGUAUGACAAAUCCUACAGUGCUUCUCAUCUCUCCAGUACAAAUCAUGACAAGUUUCACAUCUGGUAAGCGAUUCAAAAUAAGAUCUCUUGACACGUUUCACAGCAUUAAGAUCACAGUAAAAAUAAUUCCAUAUCCAUGCAUCAAACUCCUGAAGACGGCUCCACUUCUGGUUGUCUUCCUCCUCCUUCUUCCCUGCUUCAAGAAUUAUAGCACCACAUGGAGGCAGAGAAUCUUUCAUGACCUCAGGCAGGCUCAGGUUGUUGUCUACAUCAGACACUGGCGAUGUACUGUCUUCUCGAACUAUGUCCAGCUCAGGUUGAUCUGAUUGUGCCAAGCGCCUGUUUUCAGCAUGAUUUACCAUGUUACUUGACAUCUCUUGGCAAAGAAAAGCUUCCCGCUUUUUUAAAGAUUCAAUAAGGAGAGCCUCUCUUGCUCCCCUGUCAUCCAAAAUUGACAACAAACCACGCAAAGCCUCUUCAGUAUCAAUCACCUCCCAGUGACCAUCUUCAGAAGAUUCAAAAUAAACUCUCUUAUGGCCAGGAUCACGUGAAUUACAAGGGCCCAAGAAAAGCCAAUAUCUACUGUACCUACGAUCAGAACCCAAGAAGAUAGAUUGCAUUGGAUGCAAAUUGACUCCAAGUUCUGUCUCUUUCAUGUCUUUCCCUUUGCCAGAGGACUUUUCCCCUUCAUUAAACUUUAGGAUUGAGACAGAAGAAUCAAUUGGGUGAGAUGCAGAUGAUGAAUAUGGUUCUUUUGAAUUAUUCACUUGCCCAACAUGGACCCAGGAUGGCCUGGGAAAAUUAUGUUGCUUUGAUGAUGAUCUCUUUAUUUUUGCCCCAGAGCCAUAAUGAUGCAUGUUUGGAACAGAUUCAACAGUGGUUCUUUUCACAUCCUCCAUUCUAAUACUGGAUCCAGCACUGACAAGAUCAAUCAAAGCCACCAAAACAUUCAACUUUUCUUCAAUGCUUAAAUCUGAAUAUUCACCUUCAAUAAGUCCUAGCAACCACACUUCUCCAGGGUGGCUCUCAUCAAUUUCAUUGUAAACUGUCAACAUGUUCUUUUUACUUCUGUGAUGGUUAGUAUGCUUGGAUUUUCUUGAAUUGGAAUUAUCUGAGUCACACUCAGAAUCACUGCUGCUACAUGUUCCACUAUCAUUGAAGUCAUCAUGAACACUUCCAGAGUCCUCAGUAUCAGACUGAAAAUCAUUGGCUUCUUUUGAAAGAGUACUAAUGCGCAGACGAUAAGCAGAUGGCGAGAUCUUCUCAAAUAAAGUAAUAUCACUUGAAAGAGUAGAGCUUAUUAGAAGUUCCAAUUCCUCGGUCGUCUUUGCAAGAUUUAGUUCAGUAAUCUCCAUCGACUUUGCUAGAUCAGAAACUUUCAAUCCAUUAUUUCCUCUCUGUGACAACAGUUUAAACAAUUCACCCUUCAAAGUUCCAGGACGUAGGCCAUACUUCACCAUGAGGCUCAUCUCCUUGCUAAGGGCUUCCCUAUGAAAUGAACCUUGCCUUGAACCAAAACCAGCUGCAACCAAGACUUGAUGCAGUAUUUCUGUCCAUGUAAGGGGAUUGAGAGACUUCUUCCAAAACUCCACAACAAAUUCUUGAUGUUCAACCGAAUGAAUAAGUGCAAGAAACUGGCAAGAUACGCUCAAAUUGGGCAGAAAUCCACUACUAAUCUCCGUUUCAACAUCAGAUAAAAGAAGCUUCAGAAGGGCCAGAUGAAUUUUUCCAAGUAACAAAGAAUCCUUAUCAUGGAAUGCUUGAGCAAAUUCAUCAAGAGUGAAGGGGCAAAUAUCAAUUGAAACAGAAUAUGUGUAAAGAAAAUGGAAAACCUUAAAUAGUUUUUUCACGGUCUCUGGAGAGGAAUCCCAAGGCUGCUUGGCGAAUGGUUGCUUCAUCUUUACAGAAUUUGGAGGAAAUUUGGGCAGCAAAUCUUUGCAAAGGGAACAACCAUGCAGUCCAUUGUUUGCACAAUGAUCAGAACAUGUAACUGGAUUCAAUCCAGCUUGUAAUUCUCUCAGCUCCAGCUCUUCAUCAUCCAAUAGCAAUGUCAAUUGAUCAACACGCUCCUGAGAUAAAACUCCUUCCAAAGCAAGUUCACAUUUUUCUUUGCGGGGCUGAUUCUGAGACUCAUCUCUUUUAGAUUCCACCUUUCGUUUAGUAGAAAACUUCCUCUUCUGUUGUGAUUUAUUUUCCAACCUUCUCUGUUUCAUUAUAGACACUAGUUGUCGUCGUUUUUUUUGCUGACCUAGUGGUUUUCGUGAGACAGGAGUUGAUAUUUGAGGUAUUAUUUCUCUGUCAACACAAGGAAUUCCUGUAGGAAAAUCUCCACCAUUUGGAUUUGUUGCCCGCCAUACUGUCAUCAAGCCUUUGCCAAUACCAUGCUUCUUAACAGAAGCACCGUCAUUGUAAUCCUGACAAGUCAAUUUGCCCUGCUUGGAUACCUUUCUCCUUUUUGCACUUUGAUUCUCUUCACAAGCAGCACUAGAAUUUCUGGAGUCUUUACAAUAGUGAUAUGCCCUCGAAGGAAGAGAAACAAAUUCCACACCAAGGGGAGGACCAUCUUUGCGAAAAAUCUUCCUUAAAAUAUAGUCUGGAGUCAAUAAAUUCUGAAGAAGAAUCGGCUUCUUCUUCCUCUUAUUUUUAAGAAUCCUGCCUGCAGCCUCUGAAGAUGCAUGCAUAAUCAAGCUGUCCUGCUGUUUAUGUGUCUUUUUAUUAGCAGGCGCAACUCUCAACCCAUUUCUUCCUUUAACAACUGAGAGUUUCUUGCUCGGACAGGGGGUUUCAAUAGAUAUAUCUUUGCUUUUGUCCCUCCUCCUUUUCUCAACGAACCAACCCUGGACCUGCUUGAAUGUCAAGUCCAAGACUGCAGCAAGUUCUUCCAUAGCCGUAUGCGUAGGAUACUUCUGUUCAGCAUAGAAUUUCUCGAGGGCUUCAAGCUGAAGUGGUGAUUUUCUCUUCAUUUCCAUCUUUCCCUCCUCUGCUUCAAUCAACUUAACGGCCGUUCUUGACUCAAUCAAACUGGAUUCUUCAUAGCUUGCUUAGAGAUUAGUUGCAGUGGUGAUGGAAAUGGAGAUAGAAGGGACUGAAAAUGAGGUUGAAGAAGAAGGGGUCAGUACUCUGCAGAGAGAUUUUACCAAAGUUGUAGGGUUUUGGGUUUUAUCAUCAUUUUUAUAUCACAUGGGUCCAUUAAGGGCUUUUCUUUUU
Molecule: unclassified non-coding RNA, 4233 nt
Filed under: Hevea brasiliensis (rubber tree)
Lineage: Eukaryota; Viridiplantae; Streptophyta; Magnoliopsida; Malpighiales; Euphorbiaceae
Source: RNAcentral